AACGAACGCUGGCGGCAUGCCUAACACAUGCAAGUCGAACGAGACCUUCGGGUCUAGUGGCGCACGGGUGCGUAACGCGUGGGAACCUGCCCUUAGGUUCGGAAUAACUCCCCGAAUGGGGUGCUAAUACCGGAUAAUGUCUUCGGACCAAAGAUUUAUCGCCUUUGGAUGGGCCCGCGUUGGAUUAGCUAGUUGGUAGGGUAAAAGCCUACCAAGGCGUCGAUCCAUAGCUGGUCUGAGAGGAUGAUCAGCCACACUGGGACUAAGACACGGCCCAGACUCCUACGGGAGGGAGCAGUGGGGAAUAUUGGACAAUGGGCGAAAGCAUGAUCCAGCAAUGCCGCGUGAGUGAUGAAGGCCUUAGGGUUGUAAAGCUCUUUUACCCGGGAUGAUAAUGACAGUACCGGGAGAAUAAGCUCCGGCUAACUCCGUG
Molecule: ribosomal RNA, 433 nt
Filed under: uncultured bacterium
Lineage: Bacteria
Description: partial 16S ribosomal RNA
Rfam family: Bacterial small subunit ribosomal RNA
Source: RNAcentral